This 472-nucleotide ribosomal RNA is filed under the name uncultured bacterium. RNAcentral's name for it is "partial 16S ribosomal RNA". It matches the Rfam family "Bacterial small subunit ribosomal RNA", at positions 28 to 507 of the family's 1533-position model. The record is from RNAcentral.
GACGAACGCUGGCGGCGUGCUUAACACAUGCAAGUCGAACGCUGAAGCUUGGUGCUUGCACUGGGUGGAUGAGUGGCGAACGGGUGAGUAAUACGUGAGUAACCUGCCCUUGACUCUGGGAUAAGCCUGGGAAACUGGGUCUAAUACUGGAUAUGACAUGCCACUGCAUGGUGGUGUGUGGAAAGGGUUUUGCUGGUUUUGGAUGGGCUCACGGCCUAUCAGCUUGUUGGUGGGGUAAUGGCCUACCAAGGCGACGACGGGUAGCCGGCCUGAGAGGGUGACCGGCCACACUGGGACUGAGACACGGCCCAGACUCCUACGGGAGGCAGCAGUGGGGAAUAUUGCACAAUGGGCGGAAGCCUGAUGCAGCGACGCCGCGUGAGGGAUGACGGCCUUCGGGUUGUAAACCUCUUUCAGCACGGAAGAAGCGAGAGUGACGGUACGUGCAGAAGAAGCGCCGGCUAACUACGUG